Molecule: ribosomal RNA, 610 nt
Filed under: uncultured bacterium
Lineage: Bacteria
Description: bacterial SSU rRNA
Rfam family: Bacterial small subunit ribosomal RNA
Source: RNAcentral
GAUGAACGCUAGCGGGAGGCUUAACACAUGCAAGUCGAACGGCAGCACGGGCUUCGGCCUGGUGGCGAGUGGCGCACGGGUGCGUAACGCGUAUGCAACCUGCCUUAUGCAGGGGGAUAGCCCAUGGAAACGUGGAUUAAUACCCCAUAGUAUGAUUUUUCUGCAUGGAAAAAUGAUUAAAACUUCGGUGGCAUAAGAUGGGCAUGCGUAUGAUUAGCUAGUUGGUGAGGUAACGGCUCACCAAGGCAACGAUCAUUAGGGGUUCUGAGAGGAUUAUCCCCCACACUGGUACUGAGACACGGACCAGACUCCUAUGGGAGGCAGCAGUGAGGAAUAUUGGUCAAUGGGCGAGGGCCUGAACCAGCCAUCCCGCGUGCAGGAUGACGGCCCUACGGGUUGUAAACUGCUUUUCUACUCCAAGAAACCCCCGCUCGUGAGCGGGGUUGCCGGUAGAGUAGGAAUAAGCAUCGGCUAACUCCGUGCCAGCAGCCGCGGUAAUACGGAGGAUGCAAGCGUUAUCCGGAUUCAUUGGGUUUAAAGGGUGCGCAGGUGGGCUUGUAAGUCAGUGGUGAAAUGCUGCCGCUUAACGGUAGAAUUGCCAUUGAUACUG